AUGUCCACUGAUCUCUCUUUUGCUGUCACCAACGUUUAUGCGCCGGCAGAUCAUUCCUUCGCCCAGGUGUUCGUGGCUGACCUGGGCGAUGUGGCCACCACGGGCGCUCUCCUCUGGCUCGUCCUCGGUGACUUUAACCUCAUCCGGGGGCCGUCGCAGAAGAAUAACUCUCGCUUCGACGCUGGCAGUGCGGCGUCUUUCAAUGCCCUGAUCAACGGGCUCGGCUGGCUCGAGCUGCCCCUCUUUGAUCGCCUUUUCACCUGGACCAACAAACGUUCCCCCCAACCCUUGCUCGCCUAG
RNAcentral lists this ribosomal RNA (300 nucleotides) under Triticum aestivum (bread wheat). RNAcentral describes it as "partial small subunit ribosomal RNA". Lineage: Eukaryota; Viridiplantae; Streptophyta; Magnoliopsida; Poales; Poaceae. The record is from RNAcentral.